AUUAAUAUCCUUUUCUCAUUGUUUUAUUUUGUUAUGUUUGUUUUCAAUUUUAUAAUGUUGUGUGUUUUUUUUAGGUGUGUUUCUUUUAUUGUCUUUUUUUUUUUACUAAUGAAAUUGAAGGUUCGUUUAGGCCAAGUUUAUGCAAACUUUCCAUGUAAAGCUCAAAACUCGUCCCUUUGUUCAAAAUUUUGCUCCUUAUUGUCCUUCAUAUAUUUUGCAAAUUUAAUCUUUACAUUGAGGACAAUGUUUCAUUUAGGCUGGGGGAAAGGAAUCAAAAUGUUCAAAAAAAAAAAAAAAAAACUUUCUUACCGACCGAUGAUAAUAUUUGAAAUUGUUUUUAUAUUAUUGUGACUAGGGGAUGUUGCUUUGAUUUUGUUUACGCUUGUUCAUGUUAGAUUGAUCUACAUUGAGCACAAUAAUCAUGAAAAUCACAUAUUAUUUAGAUUGGAUCAAUGGAUAGAAUAUGUAGAAUUAACUAUGACCCCAAAAAAAAAAUCCAACUAUACCAAUUCUAUGAUAGUUUGGGGUGGUUGAGCUGUUGUGGGGUGACAUUGAGAUAGAUGUGGAUUCCAUGUGUGUUACAUUUUGUGUGGAUUGCUUAAGACCAAUGAGAUGAUAAUUAGGUGAAAAUCUUAAGUUAAAUAUCAAUUUUCGAGAAUAAGUGUUUAAUGAGGGGCAUUGCACUAAUCAUUGCAUAGAAGGGAAAAAGUUGUCAUGUUGUGAAGCUACCCUAAAAGAGCCCAAUGAGGACAAUUAUAUACAUAAAAAGAGAUAGGCUAGUACAUGAAACAGAAUACGCACGGCAAACUUGAAAAUAACAGGUGCAUGAAACAGAAGACGCACUACAUGCCUUGAUUAAGUCCCAAACACUUAUUUUAAAGAAUUAG
Molecule: long non-coding RNA, 887 nt
Filed under: Olea europaea subsp. europaea
Lineage: Eukaryota; Viridiplantae; Streptophyta; Magnoliopsida; Lamiales; Oleaceae
Source: RNAcentral